Symphalangus syndactylus (siamang) is the source of this 569-nucleotide long non-coding RNA. RefSeq lists it as uncharacterized. NCBI's taxonomy places the organism in Eukaryota, Metazoa, Chordata, Mammalia, Primates, Hylobatidae. The record is from RefSeq and is a predicted model, not a curated record.
GGAAAACGGUGAGCACGAAGGAGAAUUUGGGAUGAGUUAUGGAAGGAAUGACACAGCAGUUGCCUGAGAAAACAAUGUCAUGGCUGCCCCUUUGAACUUCAGGCUUUUAUGAUAAUGGCCUCAACACUUGCAUUGAAGUAGAAACUGUCUCCAACAAAAUACCAACUCUCGUAUGUGAGAUAUUUGAUUGACAGAAGAUAAAGGAAUAACAAAUUAGGAAGCUUAGUAUUUGAUUAGCCCCAAAGGUGAACAGAUGGAGGGUGGGGAACAAGAAGAAAAUGUCUGCAGAAGAUGAUGAGGAAAAAGAUUUGGAGAUACAAACAUUCUUUUGUGUCCUGGAUUGAUCAUUCUGGAAUAAGUCAGCCACCAUAUUGUGAGGACAUACAAGCAGGCCAUAGAGGGAUCUACUGGGGAGAAAUUGAAGCCUCCUGCCAACUACCAGCAUCAUGUGAGUAAGCCUUCUGGGAAGCAGAUCCUCCAGGCCAAGCCAAGUUGUGAGGAGAUGUAGCCUCAGCUGACAUCUUGACUGUAACCUCAUGAGAGAUCCUGAGCCAGAAUCAUCCAGCUAC